Spea bombifrons (plains spadefoot toad) is the source of this 426-nucleotide non-coding RNA. The record is from the annotation of a RefSeq genome assembly. NCBI's taxonomy places the organism in Eukaryota, Metazoa, Chordata, Amphibia, Anura, Pelobatidae.
AUGAAGAUGGUCACUCCGAGCUUUCUCCUGUGGGGGCUUCUGCUUUAUAUUCAGGGCUCCUGUGGACAGAUUGCGGUGACUCAGACUCCAGACUCUGUCUCUGUGUCACCAGGAGAACGCGUCACCAUGACAUGUAAAGCCAGUUCUAGUAUUGGCAGGGCAUUAGCCUGGUACCAACAGAAACCAGGACAACCCCCAAAGCCCCUGAUCUAUUAUGCCAGCAGCAGAUUCACCGGGACCCCAGAGCGGUUCAGCGGCAGCGGGUCGGGAACUGAUUUCACUUUUACCAUCAGCGGAGCGCAAGCAGAAGAUGCAGCAGAUUAUUACUGUCAGCAGUAUAACAGCUACACUCUCACAGUGAUACAGAGCCGUACAAAAACCUUCCUCUUCCAUCUCUAUUAUAUCAUACAGAAUAGAAACCGCUGA